RNAcentral lists this small RNA (109 nucleotides) under Flavobacterium caeni. RNAcentral describes it as "Flavo-1 RNA". Lineage: Bacteria; Pseudomonadati; Bacteroidota; Flavobacteriia; Flavobacteriales; Flavobacteriaceae. The record is from RNAcentral.
UGCUCGCGUUAGCGGGUGAAGUGGAAAUCCUUUUUUAAAAGGAUUCGCCGGAGCGAUAGCGCAGGCAAAUCUCUUUUAAAAAAGAUUGCAACGGAACACGCGGCGGCGG